GGUGAGGUAACCUUUUGGAGCCAGCCGCCUAAGGUGGGAUAGAUGAUUGGGGUGAAGUCGUAACAAGGUAGCCGUAUCGGAAGGUGCGGCUGGAUCACCUCCUUUCUAAGGAA
RNAcentral lists this ribosomal RNA (113 nucleotides) under Enterococcus faecium. Its description in RNAcentral is "partial 16S ribosomal RNA". It matches the Rfam family "Bacterial small subunit ribosomal RNA", at positions 1429 to 1533 of the family's 1533-position model. The record is from RNAcentral. Lineage: Bacteria; Bacillati; Bacillota; Bacilli; Lactobacillales; Enterococcaceae.